CCUGACGCAGCCAUGCCGCGUGGAUGAUGAAGGUCUUAGGAUUGUAAAAUCCUUUCACCGGGGACGAUAAUGACGGUACCCGGAGAAGAAGCCCCGGCUAACUUCGUGCCAGCAGCCGCGGUAAUACGAAGGGGGCUAGCGUUGCUCGGAAUUACUGGGCGUAAAGGGCGCGUAGGCGGACAGUUAAGUUGGGGGUGAAAGCCCGGGGCUCAACCUCGGAAUUGCCUUCAAUACUGGCUGUCUUGAGUACGGGAGAGGUGAGUGGAACUCCGAGUGUAGAGGUGAAAUUCGUAGAUAUUCGGAAGAACACCAGUGGCGAAGGCGACUCACUGGCCCGUUACUGACGCUGAGGCACGAAAGCGUGGGUAGCAAACAGGAUUAGAUACCCUGGUAGUCCACGCC
Molecule: ribosomal RNA, 402 nt
Filed under: uncultured Alphaproteobacteria bacterium
Lineage: Bacteria; Pseudomonadati; Pseudomonadota; Alphaproteobacteria
Description: bacterial SSU rRNA
Rfam family: Bacterial small subunit ribosomal RNA
Source: RNAcentral